UCGAGAAUCUUCGGCAAUGGGCGCAAGCCUGACCGAGCGACGCCGCGUGUGGGAUGAAGGCCUUCGGGUUGUAAACCACUGUCAGAGGGGAGGAAAUGCAUGGGGGUACUCUCCCAUGUUUGACCUAUCCUCAGAGGAAGUCAGGGCUAAGUUCGUGCCAGCAGCCGCGGUAAGACGAACCUGACGAACGUUAUUCGGAAUUACUGGGCUUAAAGGGUGCGUAGGCGGCGCGGAAAGUUGGGUGUGAAAUCCCUUGGCUUAACUGAGGAAUUGCGCCCAAAACUACCGUGCUUGAGGGAGAUAGAGGUGAGCGGAACUUAGGGUGGAGCGGUGAAAUGCGUUGAUAUCCUAAGGAACACCGGUGGCGAAAGCGGCUCACUGGAUCUCUUCUGACGCUGAGGCACGAAAGCUAGGGGAGCGAACGG
This 425-nucleotide ribosomal RNA is filed under the name uncultured bacterium. Its description in RNAcentral is "bacterial SSU rRNA". It matches the Rfam family "Bacterial small subunit ribosomal RNA", at positions 355 to 775 of the family's 1533-position model. The record is from RNAcentral.